GAUGAGCGCUCGCUGUGUGCCUAAUACAUGCAUGUUGAACGGGAUGUAGCAAUACAUUCAGUAGCGAAUGGGUGAGUAACACGUACCUAACCUACCUUUAAGACUGGGAUAACUAUUGGAAACAAUAGCUAAUACCGGAUAUAGUUGUUUAUCGCAUGAUGAGUAAUAGAAAGGAGCUUCACAGCUUCACUUAAAAAUGGGGGUGCGGAACAUUAGUUAGUUGGUAGGGUAAUGGCCUACCAAGACGAUGAUGUUUAGCCGGGCCGAGAGGCUGUACGGCCACACUGGGACUGAGAUACGGCCCAGACUCCUACGGGAGGCAGCAGUAAGGAAUUUUCCACAAUGAGCGAAAGCUUGAUGGAGCGACACAGCGUGCAGGAUGAAGUUCUUCGGAAUGUAAACUGCCGUUAUAAGGGAAGAAAAAAUAGAAUAGGAAAUGAUUUUAUCUUGACGGUACCUUAUUAGAAAGCGACGGCAAACUAUGUGCCAGCAGCUGCGGUAAUACAUAGGUCGCAAGCGUUAUCCGGAAUUAUUGGGCGUAAAGCGUCCGUAGGUUUUUUGCUAAGUCUGGAGUUAAAUGCUGAAGCUCAACUUCAGUCCGCUUUGGAUACUGGCAAAAUAGAAUUAUAAAGAGGUUAGCGGAAUUCCUAGUGAAGCGGUGGAAUGCGUAGAUAUUAGGAAGAACACCAAUAGGCGAAGGCAGCUAACUGGUUAUAUAUUGACACUAAGGGACGAAAGCGUGGGGAGCAAACAGG
RNAcentral lists this ribosomal RNA (755 nucleotides) under uncultured Mycoplasma sp. RNAcentral describes it as "bacterial SSU rRNA". It matches the Rfam family "Bacterial small subunit ribosomal RNA", at positions 28 to 776 of the family's 1533-position model. Lineage: Bacteria; Bacillati; Mycoplasmatota; Mollicutes; Mycoplasmatales; Mycoplasmataceae. The record is from RNAcentral.